GUGGCGAGUGAUUUUGCCCUGUAGGCUGUCGCUCUAAUGAAAUAACCCUUAGACAUAUCACACCUGAACUAUGCUGCAGACUUUAUAACUGGCUGGUGGUUUGUUGCAGAAGCAGACAGAGCACCUUGCUAUAGUCCUCUCUCCUGCGUCUCCUGCUGUGCUUUCCAGCGUGGCACGCGCUCUCCCCAGAGCUGUGCUGGCAGUGCCACGGGAAUGGAACGUUGGCGAUGGUCUGCCGUGACUUUGAUACAUCUGUGGUUUAGGUCAUUGAUUUAGGUAAACUAGCUCAUUAUUUCCAUCUUGGGAAAAAAAUUUAGGCAUUUGCCAGAGUUUCUUUGAUUAGACUUGUAGGCACUCUUCACUUCAAUACCUCAGUUCUUCUUUUCUUUUGCAUGCAUUUUCCCCCUGUUUGGUGCUAUGUUUAUGUAUUAUGCUUGAAAUUUUAUUUUUUUUUUGCACUGUAACUAUAAUACCUCUUAAUUUACCUUUUUUAAAGCUGUGGGUCAGUCUUGUGCUCCCACCAAAAUACCAGUAGAAGUUUGCUGCAAUUUGCCCCAUUAAUUAUGCUUGAAGUUCAAGAAAGCUGAGCAGAGGUGUCUCGUAUUUUCCAGCACAUCGUUUUGAAGUCGAUGCUUCAUGUAAUGCUGCAUUUACGUUUCAAUUACAUUUGGAUAUUUUUCUGCACCAUCCACUCGCAGAGAAGGACCUCUGCCCACACACACAGCAGCUUUCAGCUCUGCUUCAUACUCAGCCCCAAGUGAAGGGGAUGUUGAGCUUCUCCAGUGAAUUUGUUGUCUUAAUUUGAGAUCUAAAUUCUUAGAGUUUUUGAGCAAAUUAAUCUAGGUGACUGAUUUUAAAAAUAAUUCUGAUGUACAAACCUUGGAUGUCUAUUUGAUUUAAAAAAAAUAUAUUAGGUGCGAUAAUAUUAGGUAAAACCAAGCGAUUCCUGAAUUAUAUAACUAUGAAAGUGUAUAGGUAACAGGUGAGGCUGGAUAUGAAUUUUACUUGUGGGAUGAUUUGUGGUCAUAUCAUGGCUCUCUUGAUAAUUUAUAAACUACCUGAUGCCAGGAGCUUUGGGCUUUGCAUUGAAUCUGAUGCAUUUAUCCCAGUGUUAGGGCGUUCUCUGGCUUCUUGGCUUUCAAAUCAGAUUGUUUCAGUCAUGAUUCAUUGAAAANAUGGAAGGCAGAAUUUAAAGUUUGAUAACAAGAUAGAUAACAGAAUAAAACAUUUAACAUAUGUAUAAAAUUUUUGAAACUAAUUGUAGUUUUAGUUUUUUGCGCAAACACAAUCUUGUCUUCUUUCCUCACUUCUGCUUUGUUUAAAUCACAAGAGUGCUUUAACGACAUUUAGCAAGUGUUCAAAUAAUUAUUGACGGUUUUUUGUCUGUUUGUUUUUUUUUGUUGUUUUUUGUUUGUUUGUUUGUUUGUUUUUUGCCUUUGUCGGCUUUGCCUAGCGUUAGAAGGCCAUGGAGCUUAAUCCUCAAACAGCCCCUAGAAUUCCAUAGCGUCCUGAACAUCCUUCGGUGCAUGUGGUAGUGCCACUCCUGCGGGAGUCCUUGCCCCGAGUGGAGCGAUGCAGUCGGCGAGAGGAGGAGCGAGCAGGUGUAGGCUUUUCUUUCCAUUUGUGUUGUGUAAGGUGAAGUUCCAGGCGCUGUUGCACUUGAUGGUAAGGAGUGGAUUGUGGAUCAGCAUUGGCUGGCAUGUUGGUGAAUCAAAUUUGAGUUUUCGAUGCCAUGUGGUCCUGCAUAAAAAAGGUUCUUGCCUUAAAAUUAAAACUUUCAUGAAUAUUCUUUAAUUUCUGAACAAACCAUUUACAUUCCCUUUGUUUUAUUAUACAUUAGAUGUUGAGAUGGAGUCAGUUACAGCUCACUAGUAUAGUUGUUACUACAGGAUUACACUAGAAUUCCUGUCACAUGUAUUCCAAAGACAUUUUAAAAACCAGAAUAUGAAUUUUUUUAACAUCAUAAUCAAAAUGAUCUUUGGCUAAAUACCCAGUUUUACUAAAAACCUCCCGCUAGGUAGUUCCAGUGAUGGGAAUGUUUGUGGCGAGUGAUUUUGCCCUGUAGGCUGUCGCUCUAAUGAAAUAACCCUUAGACAUAUCACACCUGAACUAUGCUGCAGACUUUAUAACUGGCUGGUGGUUUGUUGCAGAAGCAGACAGAGCACCUUGCUAUAGUCCUCUCUCCUGCGUCUCCUGCUGUGCUUUCCAGCGUGGCACGCGCUCUCCCCAGAGCUGUGCUGGCAGUGCCACGGGAAUGGAACGUUGGCGAUGGUCUGCCGUGACUUUGAUACAUCUGUGGUUUAGGUCAUUGAUUUAGGUAAACUAGCUCAUUAUUUCCAUCUUGGGAAAAAAAUUUAGGCAUUUGCCAGAGUUUCUUUGAUUAGACUUGUAGGCACUCUUCACUUCAAUACCUCAGUUCUUCUUUUCUUUUGCAUGCAUUUUCCCCCUGUUUGGUGCUAUGUUUAUGUAUUAUGCUUGAAAUUUUAUUUUUUUUUUUGCACUGUAACUAUAAUACCUCUUAAUUUACCUUUUUUAAAGCUGUGGGUCAGUCUUGUGCUCCCACCAAAAUACCAGUAGAAGUUUGCUGCAAUUUGCCCCAUUAAUUAUGCUUGAAGUUCAAGAAAGCUGAGCAGAGGUGUCUCGUAUUUUCCAGCACAUCGUUUUGAAGUCGAUGCUUCAUGUAAUGCUGCAUUUACGUUUCAAUUACAUUUGGAUAUUUUUCUGCACCAUCCACUCGCAGAGAAGGACCUCUGCCCACACACACAGCAGCUUUCAGCUCUGCUUCAUACUCAGCCCCAAGUGAAGGGGAUGUUGAGCUUCUCCAGUGAAUUUGUUGUCUUAAUUUGAGAUCUAAAUUCUUAGAGUUUUUGAGCAAAUUAAUCUAGGUGACUGAUUUUAAAAAUAAUUCUGAUGUACAAACCUUGGAUGUCUAUUUGAUUUAAAAAAAAUAUAUUAGGUGCGAUAAUAUUAGGUAAAACCAAGCGAUUCCUGAAUUAUAUAACUAUGAAAGUGUAUAGGUAACAGGUGAGGCUGGAUAUGAAUUUUACUUGUGGGAUGAUUUGUGGUCAUAUCAUGGCUCUCUUGAUAAUUUAUAAACUACCUGAUGCCAGGAGCUUUGGGCUUUGCAUUGAAUCUGAUGCAUUUAUCCCAGUGUUAGGGCGUUCUCUGGCUUCUUGGCUUUCAAAUCAGAUUGUUUCAGUCAUGAUUCAUUGAAAAUGCCUCAAUGUAUUUUGUAACCUUAAGAAAAAUAUUUUAUGAUCAUACUAAAAAAAGUUCAGACUCGCAUAUGAUUAGGCCAUACAUUCUCAGGGGCACGAAUUUCUUGCUACUAUUCAAAAUGUUUUAUCAACAGCAAACAUGAGCUACUACUAUUACUGCCCCUCUUUUUUUUCUUUGGAAAAAAAGAGCUGAUAUUAACAGUUUGAAGCAUUCUAUGAUCCCCUGGUGACUAAGUAAAAAAUAAAUGAACAAUAUUAUUUAGACACAUUAAAUGGUUAUGAACGCUUUUGUGCUGCUGAGUUUUCAUGCUGUCAAGUUUUCCCCAGUUUAGUUUGUUGACAUGUUUUGCAUCUGUCAAUUAAGAAAAAAGUCACUCUGUUGCCCCACUUUAAAACUGUGUGUGCAUCUUUUGCCCCUGCAAUGGCCAUGGGGGCAGAACAUGCCGUGGAAACGGGCUGGUGAGUGGGGCUGUCCCCGGCACAUGAUAAUGGACCGCUGAGGUGCCGCUCGGCAGAGCCACUGCAGGAACCCUGAUAGUGUGCAGGUCGGUUGGCAUGGACCUUCACUGUAAAUGUCUCCUUUCUUUCAUGAUAUGCUUUCUGCAGUCCUGACUAUGCUGCGUUUUGAAGAGCUUUCCCCCUCUGUUCUGUUCAUGCACAGAUGAGCGUUGCACUUGGUACAUGCUUUACCUCAUUUCAAGGAGAAUAUGCUUAACUGAGAGGAAAAAUGUGGUUUGGCCUUGGCUGCUGUUUUGAUUUGCUGAAUUUGAAAAAGAUGAUUAUAAUGCCUGCAAUGUGUCAUAUACUUGCACAACUUAAAUAGGUCAUUUUCGUCUGUGGCAUUUUUUACCAUUUGUGAAAGUAUUGCAAAGAUUUGUUAACUGAACUCUUAAUUAUGUUUUAAAAAUGUUUGUUACAUUUCUUUUACAUGUGUGAAAUGAUUAAGUUUAGAAUGACCUCUAACACUCCUGUAAUUAUCCCUUAAAAUACUUCUAUUUUUACUUUCUUAAUAAUAAUAGCCUGCCCUCAGAAAGAUUCAAUGCCCUGCCUGCGGAGCAAGAGUCUUGAGACGGCUCUGGCUCUGCGUGUCCAGUUCCCAGCUGCAGUUGCUCACCCGCAGUCGGCUCUUCCAGUCGCUUCCUGGCAGUGGGUGGUGGCCGCAGAAUAUAGAGAGUAUUC
RNAcentral lists this long non-coding RNA (4397 nucleotides) under Marmota monax (woodchuck). The record is from RNAcentral. Lineage: Eukaryota; Metazoa; Chordata; Mammalia; Rodentia; Sciuridae.